Molecule: ribosomal RNA, 563 nt
Filed under: uncultured bacterium
Lineage: Bacteria
Description: bacterial SSU rRNA
Rfam family: Bacterial small subunit ribosomal RNA
Source: RNAcentral
CCUACGGGAGGCAGCAGUGGGGAAUCUUGCGCAAUGGGCGAAAGCCUGACGCAGCCAUGCCGCGUGAAUGAUGAAGGUCUUAGGAUUGUAAAAAUUCUUUUCACCGGGGACGAUAAUGACGGUACCCGGAGAAGAAGCCCCGGCUAACUUCGCGCCAGCAGCCGCGGUAAUACGAAGGGGGGCUAGCGUUGCUCGGAAUUACUGGGCGUAAAGGGAGCGUAGGCGGAUAGUUUAGUCAGAGGUGAAAGCCCAGGGCUCAACCUUGGAAUUGCCUUUGAUACUGGCUAUCUUGAGUAUGGGAGAGGUUAGCGGAACUCCGAGUGUAGAGGUGAAAUUCGUAGAUAUUCGGAAGAACACCAGUGGCGAAGGCGGCUAACUGGCCCAUUACUGACGCUGAGGCUCGAAAGCGUGGGGAGCAAACAGGAUUAGAUACCCUGGUAGUCCACGCCGUAAACGAUGAGUGCUAGUUGUCGGCAUGCAUGCAUGUCGGUGACGCAGCUAACGCAUUAAGCACUCCGCCUGGGGAGUACGGUCGCAAGAUUAAAACUCAAAGGAAUUGACGG